UACGUAGGUGGCAAGCGUUGUCCGGAAUUAUUGGGCGUAAAGCGCGCGCAGGCGGUUCUUUAAGUCUGAUGUGAAAGCCCACGGCUCAACCGUGGAGGGUCAUUGGAAACUGGAGAACUUGAGUACAGAAGAGGAAAGCGGAAUUCCACGUGUAGCGGUGAAAUACGUAGAGAUGUGGAGGAACACCAGUGGCGAAGGCGGCUUUCUGGUCUGUAACUGACGCUGAGGCGCGAAAGCGUGGGGAGCAAACAGG
Molecule: ribosomal RNA, 253 nt
Filed under: uncultured bacterium
Lineage: Bacteria
Description: partial 16S ribosomal RNA
Rfam family: Bacterial small subunit ribosomal RNA
Source: RNAcentral